AGGGCGUUCGGUGGAUGCCUGGGCAUCAAGGGCCGAAGAAGGACGUGGCAGUCUGCGAUAAGCCUCGGGGAGUUGGCAAGCGAGCGGUGAUCCGGGGGUGUCCGAAUGGGGGAACCUGGCCGGGGUUGUGCCUGGUCGCCCGUGUGUGAAGUUCAUAGCGCGCGGGUGGGAACGCGGGGAAGUGAAACAUCUUAGUACCUGCUGGAGAAGAUAUUCCGUUAGUAGUGGCGAGCGAAGGCGGAGGAGCCUAAACCGUGUGCGUGUAUCAGCCGCCGGGCGGUGCGUGUGCGGUGUUGUGGGCAUGCUUGUGGCCGUGCCGGUGUGCGGCCGGGCAGUGAGAAACCGUCGGGGUAGGCGAAGGGUCUGGGAAGGCCCGCCGGAGUGGGUGAGAGCCCCGUAGCCGAAAUCGCGGCGGCUGUCUGAGUGUGUUCCUGAGUAGCACGGGGCUCGUGGAAUCUCGUGUGAAGGUGGCAAGACCACUUGUCAAGGCUGAAUACCCUUGGUGACCGAUAGUGGAUGAGUACCGUGAGGGAAAGGUGAAAAGUACCCCGGGAGGGGAGUGAAAGAGUGCCUGAAACCGGGCGCCUGCAAUCCGUCAGAGCCCUUUGUUGUGGGGGUGAUGGCGUGCCUUUUGAAGAAUGAGCCUGCGAGUUAGGGGCGUGUGGCGAGGUUAACCCGUGUGGGGCAGCCGUAGCGAAAGCGAGUCUGAAAUAUGGCGGUCAGUCGUGCGUUCUAGACCCGAAGCGGGGUGAUCUACCCAUGUCCAGGGUGAAGCGCGUGUAAGAGCGUGUGGAGGCCCGGACCCACCGGGGUUGAAAACCCGGGGGAUGAGGUGUGGGUAGGGGUGAAAGGCCAAUCAAACUCCGUGAUAGCUGGUUCUCCCCGAAAUGCAUUUAGGUGCAGCGUUGCGUGGUUCUUUGCGGAGGUAGAGCGACUGGAUGGCUGAUGGGCCCCACCGGGUUACUGAGGUCAGCCAAACUCCGAAUGCCGCAAAGUGUGAGCGUGGCAGUGAGACGGCGGGGGAUAAGCUUCGUCGUCGAGAGGGAAACAGCCCGGAUCGUCGGUUAAGGCCCCUAAGGGUGUGCUAAGUGGGAAAGGAUGUGUCGUUGCUGUGACAGCCAGGAGGUUGGCUUAGAAGCAGCCAUCCUUGAAAGAGUGCGUAAUAGCUCACUGGUCAAGUGGUCGUGCGCCGACAAUUCAGCGGGGCUCAAGCGCGCCGCCGAAGCCGCGGAUCCGCCGCUAUUGGCCUGUCGCCCCCCUUGGGGGGUGGUGGGUGCGGCGGGUGGUAGGGGAGCGUCCCGCGUGGGGGGAAGCUUCCGGGUGACCGGGGGUGGACCGCGUGGGAGUGAGAAUGCAGGCAUGAGUAGCGAUACCGGGGUGGGAAGCCCCGGCGCCGUAUGACCAAGGGUUCCAGGGCCAGGCUAGUCCGCCCUGGGUGAGUCGGGACCUAAGGCGAGGCCGACAGGCGUAGUCGAUGGAUGACGGGUUGAUAUUCCCGUACCGGCGAAGCACCGCCCAUGCUGACGUGCGGGUGCUAACCCACGCCCAGCCACCAUGUUAGCCGCGCCUGUCAGGUUCGCCUGACGGUGUGGUUGUGGUGGUGGGGUCUGGGGAUCCUCCGUGCAGGUAGGCAAGCGUGUUAACAGGGGUGACGCACAGUGGUAGCCCGGCGGACCUGAUGGCUUGGUCCGUUCAAGCGCGCAGCCCGUUCCCCAGGUAAAUCCGGGGGACUGUCUUUGAUGACGGGGGUGAGGCGUGAUGGUGACCUCACACUGGUGGGGGAUAACAGGGUGAUCCUGGGGUGCCGAGAAAAGCCUCGACGCGAUGGUGCCAGCCGCCCGUACCCUAAACCGACACAGGUGGUCGGGCAGAGUAUGCCUAGGCGCACGAGUGAAUCAUGGUUAAGGAACUCGGCAAAAUGCCCCCGUAACUUCGGGAGAAGGGGGGCCUGAGCUUUGAAGCCCCUUCGCGGGCUAGGAGCAAGGGUCGCAGAGAACAGGGGGGAGCGACUGUUUACUAAAAACACAGGUCCGUGCGAAGCCGUAAGGCGAUGUAUACGGACUGACGCCUGCCCGGUGCUGGAAGGUUAAGAGGAACCAUCAACCCCCUCGGGGGUGAAGUGGUGAAUUUAAGCCCCAGUAAACGGCGGUGGUAACUAUAACCAUCCUAAGGUAGCGAAAUUCCUUGUCGGGUAAGUUCCGACCUGCACGAAUGGCGUAACGACUUCUCCGCUGUCUCGACCACGAACUCGGUGAAAUUGCAGUACGAGUAAAGAUGCUCGUUUCGCGCAGCAGGACGGAAAGACCCCGGGACCUUUACUGCAGCUUGGUAUGGGUGUUCGGCGCGGUUUGUGUAGGAUAGGUGGGAGACGGUGAUCCGCUCGCGCUAGCGGGCGGGGAGUCGCUGGUGAAAUACCACUCUGGCCGUGUUGGGCUCCUAACCUCGGCCCGUGAUCCGGGUCAGGGACAGUGCCUGGUGGGUAGUUUAACUGGGGCGGUUGCCUCCUAAAGGGUAACGGAGGCGCUCAAAGGUCCCCUCAGCCUGGUUGGUCAUCAGGUGGCGAGUGCAAGUGCACAAGGGGGCUUGACUGUGAGACUGACAGGUCGAGCAGGCACGAAAGUGGGAACUAGUGAUCCGGCGGUCGCGUGUGGAAGCGCCGUCGCUCAACGGAUAAAAGGUACCCCGGGGAUAACAGGCUGAUCCUGCCCAAGAGUCCAUAUCGACGGCAUGGUUUGGCACCUCGAUGUCGGCUCGUCGCAUCCUGGGGCUGGAGUAGGUCCCAAGGGUUGGGCUGUUCGCCCAUUAAAGCGGUACGCGAGCUGGGUUCAGAACGUCGUGAGACAGUUCGGUCCCUAUCCGCUGCGCGCGCAGGAGAAUUGAGAAGGGCUGUCCCCAGUACGAGAGGACCGGGACGGACGAACCUCUGGUGUGCCAGUUGUUCCGCCAGGAGCACGGCUGGUUGGCUACGUUCGGGAGGGAUAACCGCUGAAAGCAUCUAAGCGGGAAGCCCGCUUCAAGACGAGUUCUCCACCACCCUCGCGGUGGGAAGGCCCCCCGAAGACGACGGGGUUGAUAGACCGGACGUGGACGCCCCGCAAGGGAGUGAAGCCGACCGGCACUAAUGGGCCGACCAACCCAA
RNAcentral lists this ribosomal RNA (3139 nucleotides) under human oral metagenome. Its description in RNAcentral is "bacterial LSU rRNA". It matches the Rfam family "Bacterial large subunit ribosomal RNA". The record is from RNAcentral.